Molecule: long non-coding RNA, 1426 nt
Organism: Lycium barbarum (goji berry)
Lineage: Eukaryota; Viridiplantae; Streptophyta; Magnoliopsida; Solanales; Solanaceae
Exons: 3
Source: RefSeq, a predicted model, not a curated record
UUUAUCUCAAUUUCUUCCGGUUCUCUUCAAAUUUACCAAUUUUAUGACUAAAAUUCAUUGUUGUUGUCAAUAUUUUUCUGCUUAUCAAAAUUUUUCUUUUUAUUUCUCUUUUUCGUCCUUAAUCAGUCUCUUUUGCAUGAUUAUUAUUUUUCUUCAAACUACUAUUUCAAUUCUCUUCAUCUUCUCAGCUAGAUAUCACUGAUCUCUAUUUUGAUUUUAACUAUUUAAUGCUAAUUAUGUUAAUCACAUAUCAUUAUAACUAGUACUAUAAUCGAUAAAACUUUUUAUUUAGACCAAACAAAAAGCCGAUAAUAAAUACAAAAAUACACAUAAUAUUACAACAAAACAUCAAAAUCUCAUACAAUAAAUAAAAGUAUUCAUAGUUGAUAUAGCUUAUGCUCAAAAUUUAUUAAUUAAAAUUGUUUUUAUUAGAGAAAAAUAAAAAUUAGUAUCUAUAAAUUGAUUUUUAAUUAUUUAAUGCUAAUUUUGUUAAUCACAUAUGAUUAUACAACUAAUAAUAUAAUCGAUAAAUCUUUUUACUUAGACCAAACAAAACGCUAAUAAAAAUACAUUGAUGUACAUCAUGAAUCAACUUAUUCUUAAUUUUAUGUUUAAAUUAUUUGCAAACCAAACCUAUAAUUACUUCACCAUGAGGAAUUCGUUUAUAGUGUAUGAUUGACUAUAUGUACUUGAAAAUUCAGUUGUACUAAUAGAACAAUAAAAAUAAUAUCGGUCAGAAAUCAUUAUAGAUUCUGGUAGAGUAAUAAGUACCUUUUCAUCUUAAUUACAGAUUUUGAAUUCAAGUCUUAGAUAUAAAAAGACUUUUAGUAGGAUGCGUGUUACUCUAAAAUAAGACGUCGUGGAAUGAGUCUAAAUUAAUCCGGCCUCAGAAUAAAUAUCAAAAGAAAUUAAAAAAAAUAAAUUAUCAAAACCUAAUUAGAACCAUCCGUCUGGGUCUUUAGCAUUCCAACGCAAGAUUUCCUUAUUCCAGUGUUCAUCAAUGAACUCUUUAAUUCUCUUCAUAGUUAUGCUUUUCAACUUUCCAAUUCAUGUCUGGAUGGUAAUGUCGGACUUUUUCAAUUUUAAAUUUUGGAUGAAUUGAUAAUUCCGUCGGCCAAUUGCAGGUCUCUUCACAAUUCUCCAUUGCUAAUCGCUACUCCUUCCCUGUUUUGAAGUUCCAUCUAUCUCUUCAGAUCAAUCCAGGUAGCAGCAAUUUCAGGCGAUGUCGCUCUACACUAUAAUUAUGUCAGAAAGGUGUGAUACUUACAAUAUCAUGCUAAGAAAAUGUUGUUACCUUCCAGUUCUGCUGCAUCAAGUGAAGGAGAACUUUGGGUUAUGCGAGUUUUAAAGAACAUAAUUGAUCCCAUGUCCAAUUGCAGGACGAGGAAUGCAGUACAUUGAUGGCAAUAUCAUGAAAUAGCAUGUG